AUUCCUACGGGGGGCAGCAGUAGGGAAUAUUGGGCAAUGGGCGCAAGCCUGACCCAGCAACGCCGCGUGAAGGAAGAAGGCUUUCGGGUUGUAAACUUCUUUUCUUGGGGACGAAGAAAGUGACGGUACCCAAGGAAUAAGCCACGGCUAACUACGUGCCAGCAGCCGCGGUAAUACGGAGGAUGCGAGCGUUAUCCGGAUUUAUUGGGUUUAAAGGGUGCGCAGGCGGAGGUGCAAGUCAGCGGUCAAAUUGCGGGGCUCAACCCCGUACUGCCGUUGAAACUGCAUCCCUUGAGUGCGCGAGA
This 305-nucleotide ribosomal RNA is filed under the name uncultured bacterium. Its description in RNAcentral is "bacterial SSU rRNA". It matches the Rfam family "Bacterial small subunit ribosomal RNA", at positions 335 to 655 of the family's 1533-position model. The record is from RNAcentral.